Molecule: long non-coding RNA, 993 nt
Filed under: Linum usitatissimum (flax)
Lineage: Eukaryota; Viridiplantae; Streptophyta; Magnoliopsida; Malpighiales; Linaceae
Description: long non-coding RNA (LUSI_LNC004594)
Source: RNAcentral
UAUAAGCCAUCUGUUGAUUCCAAACACGACAUUGAAUCGGGGAGCGAGAUGGGAGGCAAAUUGGUACAUUUCGAUGGGCCAUUCAUCUUCACAGCGGACGAUUUGCUCUGUGCAACUGCUGAGAUCAUGGGGAAGAGCGCGUACGGAACUGCAUACAAAGCAACAUUGGAAGACGGCAAUCAAAUCGCAGUUAAGAGAUUGAGAGAGAAGUCAACAAAAGGUCGUAGAGAAUUCGAAGUCGAAGCUGCUUCGAUCGGGAAGAUUCGUCACCCCAAUCUGCUACCUCUAAGAGCUUAUUACAUUGGUCCUAAAGGAGAAAAGCUUCUGGCAUUCGAUUACUUGACUAGAGGGAGCCUCUCAUCCUACCUCCAUGGUAAUAAAAACUUAAACAAGUCUAUGUAUAAAAUGCAUGAUUCAAUAGACUAGCUUAAUUUGAGCAUAUUUCAUUUCAAUUGCAGCUCGUGGACCAGAGACGAUCAUCGACUGGCCAACAAGGAUGAACAUAGCAAUGGGGAUCGCACGAGGUCUGAACCAUCUCCACACAAAGGAAAACAUAAUCCACGGAAAUCUCACCUCAAGCAACGUGCUCCUCGACGAGAAGACGAACGCACACAUCGCCGACUUCGGGAUCCCACGGCUGAUGACAGACGCCGCCGCCGCGACAAACGUGAUUUCCACCGCAGGAACACUAGGUUACCGAGCGCCCGAGCUCUCAACGAAGGUGAAAAACGCCGCCGGCACGAAGAGUGACAUUUACAGCCUGGGAGUGAUCAUUCUGGAGCUGCUGACGGGGAAAUCCCCCGGGGAGACGAACAACGGGAUGGCUCUGCCGCAGUGGGUGGCUUCGAUCGUGAAGGAGGAGUGGACGAAUGAAGUUUUCGAUUUGGAGAUAUCCAAGGACUCGUCGACAGCUACUGGCGAUGAGCUCCUGAACGCUCUUAAGCUGGCUUUGCAUUGCGUUGAUCCGAAGCCAUCGGCGAGGCCGGAAGCUGG